AUUGAACGCUGGCGGCAUGCCUUACACAUGCAAGUCGAACGGUAACGGGCCUUCGGGUGCCGACGAGUGGCGAACGGGUGAGUAAUGCAUCGGAACGUACCUUUCAGUGGGGGAUAACGUAGCGAAAGUUACGCUAAUACCGCAUAUUCUGUGAGCAGGAAAGCAGGGGAUCGCAAGACCUUGCGCUGAUUGAGCGGCCGAUGUCAGAUUAGCUAGUUGGUGAGGUAAAGGCUUACCAAGGCGACGACGGGUAGCCGGUCUGAGAGGAUGUACGGCCACACUGGGACUGAGAUACGGCCCAGACUCCUACGGGAGGCAGCAGUUGGGAAUCUUAGGCAAUGGACGAAAGUCUGACCUAGCGACGCCGCGUGAGGGAAGAAGGCCUUCGGGUUGUAAACCUCUGUCAGUGGGGGAAGAAGGAAGUGACGGUACCCCAAGAGGAAGCCCCUGCUAACUACGUGCCAGCAGCCGACGGUAAAGAGUAGUACA
This 489-nucleotide ribosomal RNA is filed under the name uncultured bacterium. Its description in RNAcentral is "bacterial SSU rRNA". It matches the Rfam family "Bacterial small subunit ribosomal RNA", at positions 29 to 536 of the family's 1533-position model. The record is from RNAcentral.